UGCGUUUCCCACUCGAUGGGCGAGCUCGAUUUUGAUUUGAAAAAUUGAUUUAAUUGGUUAAAAAGAAAUGACUUGGAGUCGCCACUUAUUUUUGUUUUAUUUUUAAAGGGUAAACAAAAUAAGAAAGAAAAACCCUAAGUGCGACUCCUUAUUUUGGAAAAGGUGAUCUACGAAAAACCGGAUCGGGCUCGGGGGUCAGGUUACUUGUCGGGAAGGUACGGUAAAAUACCAUAGCACCCCUCUAAGUCCCUAAAGUUGGGUCUCUACUAAUAAAAUGAAGCAAUCAUGGCAAUUGAUGAGGAAAUCAAUGAAUACACAAAGUGAUCAUGCACACGUGAGAAUCUAAACAUGCAUACCGAAAAUGACCAGAGCGGAUGUGGAUGCGUACCUGGGCAGUGAUCCAUGAAGCGCUAUCAAAAAGUGAGGUUAGUGCACAAUUAAGGAAUAAUUUUGAGCAUGUCAUAGAGCAGGAUAAAUCAACCAUGUAUCAUAAUCCAAUCGAUCUAUCUGUUAAUCGAUCGAUCAGUCACAUAUGUGGGGCUCCCACCAAAACCCGUUUAUUUUGCAUGAAUUAAUCCCACAAAGUCCAUUAAUCUGGAAUUAUGAAAAUUACAUUCAUGCUUAUUAAAAUCAAGAGGAGCAGAAGAUUGUUUGAAAACCAGAGUGGAAUUAAAACUAUUUGAGAGAAAAUUGGAUUUUUAAAAUUUAUUUGAAAAAUUGGAGUCUCGAAGAUCACUUGAAAAUCGGAGUUUUGAAAAUUAAAUUUAAGCAUCAAAAUUUUGGAUAUUAAAUUUAUAAGAAAUUUGAUUUUGG
This 813-nucleotide long non-coding RNA is filed under the name Vitis vinifera (wine grape). Its description in RNAcentral is "long non-coding RNA (VVIN_LNC005653)". Lineage: Eukaryota; Viridiplantae; Streptophyta; Magnoliopsida; Vitales; Vitaceae. The record is from RNAcentral.